ACACGUGUAGGAGCCAAGCAUGAGAG
Molecule: non-coding RNA, 26 nt
Filed under: Cricetulus griseus (Chinese hamster)
Lineage: Eukaryota; Metazoa; Chordata; Mammalia; Rodentia; Cricetidae
Source: RNAcentral